RNAcentral lists this long non-coding RNA (840 nucleotides) under Mytilus galloprovincialis (Mediterranean mussel). Lineage: Eukaryota; Metazoa; Mollusca; Bivalvia; Mytilida; Mytilidae. The record is from RNAcentral.
CAAAAUUGAACCAUACUAGCUGAUAAAAGCGAAUUGUUAUUUCACUAUUUGCAUUUUAUUAAUGCUUGAGCAAAAAAAUGUAUAUAUUACGUUUUUUAUAAAUCUCUAGCUAGUGCCCCUUGAAACUUAACUGAACUGUGUAUCAAUUUAUCUUUGGUGAAAAUACUAGGACGGUAUAUCUUCCAACCUCGCUUCGUGAUACAGCGAUUGACGUCCAUAAUAAACUGUACGGCGGUUAUAAAAACCCCGUUGCUCAGAACAAUUUAAAUAUGUAACAAUAAAAUGUAUUUGAUAUGGCCUUGUAUUCAGUCACCAAAGCGUCAAAUGUAUGGCAAUUAUUUGUGCGAUAUAAAACGUUACCACUCACUUGUAUAACUUGGGCAUGAAAUCAAUUGUCAGGUUGUAACUAUUUAUUCCUAUCGUUUCAACCUUCAAACAAACAAAUUAAAAACAAAUUUUCAGUCACAUAAUAAACACAAUAAUUCAAAUCAAAUUAACCCCAAAAAUGUUCCAUAAAUUCGCUUUCAACUUAAUCAUUGAUUCCAAUUGUCCUUUGUAUUUAUAUGUAAAUGUUAUUCAAGCGUUCCAUAGUUUUUCCCACACGUAGAUCUUUGUAUUGAUAUGUAAAUGUUAUUCACGCGUUCCAUAGUUUUUCCCAAACGUUGAUCAUUGUAACAUAAUAACAUCUUCGAAUCAUGUUCAUAUAUAAAACAAACGUAAUUAUCAGUUCAUAUUCAUUGUUCUGUACACGAACAGGCGCGUAGCUCCCUAUACGCUAACACGCAGUUGCGUGCACAUCGAUUCGGCAUGCAAAAACAAAAUAAUGGCAAAAUAAAAAUU